Molecule: non-coding RNA, 91 nt
Filed under: Pseudomonas wadenswilerensis
Lineage: Bacteria; Pseudomonadati; Pseudomonadota; Gammaproteobacteria; Pseudomonadales; Pseudomonadaceae
Also listed under: 1 other name
Source: RNAcentral
UUUUAUGGUGGCUGUACGCGGGAGGGCUUAGGCCCUGCCGGGGUUUCCUGCGUUGAUCCGGUUCGCCAACCCGCGUACAGCUGCCACCUAA